CAAGAACAUUCUGCAGAAUGCAGUGAAAAAGAAUACCCACAGACAAGGCACGGGUGGUGGGUCACCAAAGGCUGACCUUACCCCAGCAGAGGACAUGGCCUUGGAGCUAAAUAAAGGCAGGCCCGUUUUAGAGGGGAUCCCUGGGGGAAAGAGACGAGCAUAGGUUCCUCCCAAGAUGCCACCCGCUUCAUUCAAGUGUCUGGCAGCACUGUGUUCCUGUUAGAGCCACCAGCACAAGCACCAGACGAUGCUGAUCCAGGUGAAGGCCCCAGUGCAGCAGCAACAGCACAUGAUGGAGACGAUGAUGAGGAGGAGACCAUCUCUCUGGAUUCCAGAAGGCAUGAGGACCCAGAUGCUAUACAGUGGGAAAACCAGCCUGGCAACAUAGUGCGUAUUAAUAAAAGGACACCACAUCCUGCCAAAUUCCAGCUGCGCUAAUUGUAUUGUGUUCACAGAGCUCACAAGCUAUCAG
Long non-coding RNA from Oncorhynchus tshawytscha (Chinook salmon), 472 nucleotides. The record is from Ensembl. Lineage: Eukaryota; Metazoa; Chordata; Actinopteri; Salmoniformes; Salmonidae.